Molecule: ribosomal RNA, 265 nt
Filed under: Morone saxatilis (striped sea-bass)
Lineage: Eukaryota; Metazoa; Chordata; Actinopteri; Moronidae
Description: 12S ribosomal RNA
Rfam family: Bacterial small subunit ribosomal RNA
Source: RNAcentral
GUAAAUCUCGUGCCAGCCACCGCGUUAAACGGGAGGCUCAGGUUGAUAGACAUCGGCGUAAAGCGUGGUUAAGGGCCCAACUUUUAUACUAAAGCCGAACGCUCUUAGAGCAGUUAUACGUACUGAGAGUAAGAAGAUCAAUUACGAAAGUAGCUUUACUCAAACCUGACCCCACGAAAGCUAAGGCACAAACUGGGAUUAGAUACCCCACUAUGCUUAGCCUUAAACAUAGACAGUUGUUUACCCCCACUGUCCGCCCGGGCAC